RNAcentral lists this ribosomal RNA (254 nucleotides) under uncultured bacterium. RNAcentral's name for it is "partial 16S ribosomal RNA". It matches the Rfam family "Bacterial small subunit ribosomal RNA", at positions 524 to 777 of the family's 1533-position model. The record is from RNAcentral.
UACGUAGGGUACAAGCGUUGUCCGGAAUUAUUGGGCGUAAAGAGCUCGUAGGUGGUCUGUCACGUCUGCUGUGGAAACGCAAGGCUCAACCUUGCGCGUGCAGUGGGUACGGGCGGACUAGAGUGCAGUAGGGGAGUCUGGAAUUCCUGGUGUAGCGGUGAAAUGCGCAGAUAUCAGGAGGAACACCGGUGGCGAAGGCGGGACUCUGGGCUGUAACUGACGCUGAGGAGCGAAAGCAUGGGGAGCGAACAGGA